RNAcentral lists this ribosomal RNA (207 nucleotides) under uncultured bacterium. RNAcentral's name for it is "partial 16S ribosomal RNA". It matches the Rfam family "Bacterial small subunit ribosomal RNA", at positions 568 to 774 of the family's 1533-position model. The record is from RNAcentral.
CUCGUAGGCGGUCCAUCGCGUCGGGAGUGAAAAGCUGGGGCUUAACCCCAGUCCUGCUUCCGAUACGGGUGGACUAGAGGUAGGUAGGGGAGAACGGAAUUCCUGGUGUAGCGGUGAAAUGCGCAGAUAUCAGGAGGAACACCGGUGGCGAAGGCGGUUCUCUGGGCCUUACCUGACGCUGAGGAGCGAAAGCGUGGGGAGCAAACA